UGGCCCAGUCGGUAGAGCAUGAGACUCUUGAUCUCAGGGCUGUAAGUUCGAGCCUUUU
RNAcentral lists this transfer RNA (58 nucleotides) under Ailuropoda melanoleuca (giant panda). It matches the Rfam family "tRNA", at positions 8 to 63 of the family's 71-position model. From Rfam's summary of the family: Transfer RNA (tRNA) molecules are approximately 80 nucleotides in length. Their secondary structure includes four short double-helical elements and three loops (D, anti-codon, and T loops). Further hydrogen bonds mediate the characteristic L-shaped molecular structure. tRNAs have two regions of fundamental functional importance: the anti-codon, which is responsible for specific mRNA codon recognition, and the 3' end, to which the tRNAs corresponding amino acid is attached (by aminoacyl-tRNA synthetases). tRNAs cope with the degeneracy of the genetic code in two manners: having more than one tRNA (with a specific anti-codon) for a particular amino acid; and 'wobble' base-pairing, i.e. permitting non-standard base-pairing at the 3rd anti-codon position. The record is from Rfam by way of RNAcentral. Lineage: Eukaryota; Metazoa; Chordata; Mammalia; Carnivora; Ursidae.